Molecule: long non-coding RNA, 1928 nt
Organism: Dermacentor albipictus
Lineage: Eukaryota; Metazoa; Arthropoda; Arachnida; Ixodida; Ixodidae
Source: RefSeq, a predicted model, not a curated record
UGUCGCCGAUUUCGUCUUUGCCGACAUCGAGCAAGUGCAGCGCCGGAAGUGUUGCGUUUUGCACUGCAUUUUCCUUGUGAUAUGGGAGAUCGCAACGCAGAGACGACCAGAUGCAUACGAAAGACUACCAGCGGAGAGUGACCUGUGCCAUAUUUCUCUUAACCUCUCAGGUAUUCAAGAAAUGGCAACAUCCAGAAGAAGACGCCAUCUUAUCCAGCACGUUAUGGGUACACUCUGGUGGCUCCCGCCCCUGCAUCCUACGACCACCGUGUCCUCACUAUGUUCACUAGGGAGUUCGAAGCCUUUGGAGGCUCCUGCCACUGCGUCCUGCCACCACCGUGUCCUGACUACGUCCACUAGGGAGUUGGCAGCCUUCGUGAUGAUGCCAAGCAGGCUGGAAGCUGACAGAACGAUCGAGGUUGCCUCGAAAUUUUACCCAAGCCGUGCCACACACUUGGGCCAGGCCUCUUGCAAACGACGUAUAACCAGGCUCAACGCAGGAUGUCGAGUGAGUCCGGAGAUCGAGGCAACCUGCUGUGCAACCAGCGUGCAACCUUUGGUGACCCUCAACAUGUUCCACCUAUUUCACAGCUGCACUCAGCUUCCACCUAUCCAAACCGCAUCACCAGCUGUGGUCACUCAUCGAACCAUGGAUGAAUGUUGGGGUGGAGUGAUUUGAAGAGACAUUUUUUUUGUCUCUUCAAAUCCUUAGCAAAUACUUGUGUUAUUAUAAUUAAUAUGUGUCUUUAGUGCCUAGUUUUUAAUGGUUCCUUUCUAUUAGAAUUCUCGCCAUCGAUUCCUGCUAUUAUAAUGUAUGUCUGUCUUUAUGCACAGUUUUUCAUAGUUCUUUUGUACUUGUCUAUGUAAUUGAUAGGUUCAUACUUCUUGUUAUACAGAAGGCUAAAAUGCAAACUUACGGCAUUUUUUUCUUCCUUUUGAUAAUCUACAGCACUGCAAAGUGUUCAAGAAAUGUAACCCAACGUGGGCUCUGGUGCAGGAAAAAUUUAAGAGCAAUAUAGAGUACUUAUUUCAAACACCCAUUAUUUUUGGAAAAGUAAAGAAUAUAGGAGCACAAAAAAGAAAAUAUUAAACUAGAGAAACAUGAGUUCCCCUCAUAAGUCUGAUAAUAAUGUGACUUCCCUUCACUGCAAAGACACCAGUAAUAUACUCGCAUACAAGGUUUGAAACAAGAAAGCUAUGAUGCCCUUGGCAUUUCUCAGUGCCUAUUUGUCACACUGACGAAUGUCAAAGGCAUCGUAGGUUUCAUGUACACAUUGGUUGUGUUACACUUUUGAGUAUUGCAUUUCUCAAACACAAAGGUUUACAGCAGUGCUUUAAAUAGCAAAUGCAUUUCCUAAUUUAUUAGUGCAAGAGGAACAGUACAGAUCAUGUAAAAAUUUUUUUACAGACUAUAUGUCCAUGGAUGCACGCUUCUGAUGACAUAGCAGUGACGUGGUCGUGGGAUGAAUGACUUUAUUUCAGAUUUAAAUAUUGGCUUCCAGGUCUGGGUUAGUCUCCUACACUGAAUAGUCUAGGUCAGAGCCCAUUUACUAGAGAAAGUGAAUUAAACUAGGAAUUAUAAACAUCAAAAGAUCUUGUUUAGGAAAUUAAUGUGACAAUCAGCAAGGUUCUUUGGGUAUUCAUUUCCAAAUUUGUAGGAUAUAUUUUAUGACUGGUUUCAUUAUUGUGAGAACAAAUAUUUGUUUAUUGUCACACUAGAGUUGGCUGCCCCCAUUUGUAUACAACCCCUUUACAGGCUAAAAAUUCAGUGUGUUACCCUAUUUACUCGCAUAAUGAUCGCACUUUAUUGUAAAAAAAAUUGACUCAAAUUCAGAGGUGCGAUCAUUACGCUGGGUAAAUUUCCCACAAAAAGAAAAAAAUAUAUCCUCUGGCAUUUGCUACGGGAUGACAACAGGUCAACAAAGAGG